This 580-nucleotide ribosomal RNA is filed under the name Trigonopterus sp. 170 AR-2022a. Its description in RNAcentral is "SSU rRNA". It matches the Rfam family "Eukaryotic small subunit ribosomal RNA", at positions 23 to 579 of the family's 1831-position model. Lineage: Eukaryota; Metazoa; Arthropoda; Insecta; Coleoptera; Curculionidae. The record is from RNAcentral.
GUCAUAUGCUUGUCUCAAAGAUUAAGCCAUGCAUGUCUCAGUACAAGCCAAAUUAAGGUGAAACCGCGAAAGGCUCAUUAAAUCAGUUAUGGUUCCUUAGAUCGUACCCACAAUUACUUGGAUAACUGUGGUAAUUCUAGAGCUAAUACAUGCAAACGGAGCUCCGACCGGAGACGGAAGGAGGGCUUUUAUUAGAUCAAAACCAAUCGGUGGCGGGUUCGCGCUCGUCAUCGUACAACUUGGUGACUCUGAAUAACUUUACGCUGAUCGCACGGUCAUCGCACCGGCGACGCAUCUUUCAAAUGUCUGCCUUAUCAACUGUCGAUGGUAGGUUCUGCGCCUACCAUGGUUGUAACGGGUAACGGGGAAUCAGGGUUCGAUUCCGGAGAGGGAGCCUGAGAAACGGCUACCACAUCCAAGGAAGGCAGCAGGCGCGCAAAUUACCCACUCCCGGCACGGGGAGGUAGUGACGAAAAAUAACGAUACGGGACUCAUCCGAGGCCCCGUAAUCGGAAUGAGUACACUCUAAACCCUUUAACGAGGAUCAAUUGGAGGGCAAGUCUGGUGCCAGCAGCCGCGG